GAUGAAGAACGUAGCAAAAUGCGAUAAGCAAUGUGAAUUGCAGAAUUCAGUGAAUCAUCGAAUCUUUGAACGCACAUUGCGCCCGCUGGUAUUCCGGCGGGCAUGCCUGUUCGAGCGUCAUUUCAACCCUCAAGCCCCCGGGUUUGGUGUUGGGGAUCGGCUCUGCCCUUCUGGGCGGUGCCGCCCCCGAAAUACAUUGGCGGUCUCGCUGCAGCCUCCAUUGCGUAGUAGCUAACACCUCGCAACUGGAACGCGGCGCGGCCAUGCCGUAAAACCCCAACUUCUGAAUGUUGACCUCGGAUCAGGUAGGAAUACCCGCUGAACUUAAGCAUAUCAAUAAGCGGAGGA
Molecule: unclassified non-coding RNA, 348 nt
Filed under: soil metagenome
Description: partial contains 5.8S ribosomal RNA, internal transcribed spacer 2, and large subunit ribosomal RNA
Rfam family: 5.8S ribosomal RNA (bases 1-120)
Source: RNAcentral